RNAcentral lists this long non-coding RNA (11318 nucleotides) under Podarcis lilfordi (Lilford's wall lizard). Lineage: Eukaryota; Metazoa; Chordata; Lepidosauria; Squamata; Lacertidae. The record is from RNAcentral.
CUCAGCCUUUUCUCUUCAGCUGUUUCUCCUCGGCGUUUCCCACGCCCUUUACGUGAAGGAAGCUUGUACGGUAAGUUUUGUCGUGUUUUUAAUACUGUAUUCUGCUGGGAGCCACCCACAGUGGGUGGGAAAUAAUUAGAAAUUAUUAUCAUCAUUGAUUUUUAAAUUAUUAUUAUUAUAAAAGGCUUAGGGAAGUUUGUAAUUAUUAUGUUUUGUUGCGUUUUUAAUAUUCUGUUGGGAGGAGCCCACAGUGGCUGGGGAAGGAUAAUAAAUUAUGAUUAUCAUUAAUUUUUAAAUUGUUAUUGUUAUUAUAAUAAUUGUUAUUAGAAAAGGGUUAGGGGUGUUUGUAGUAUAUUAUGUUUUAUCUGUUUUAAAAUAUUCUGUUGGGGACUGGGAAAUAGUAAUAAAUUAUUAUUAUCACUAAAUGUUAAAUUAUUAUUAUUAUUAUUAUUAAUCACACCCACCCAAGUGGGACAUGGCCUCUUCCCCCCUAAGCCUUAACAGUAUAGUAUUUUUAUUUAUUCGAAUUGGGGCGGGGAAGCUCCCCUUGGCUACAGCAACUCCAGAGUAACUGGCUGUGAGUUCAGAUCUCCAUUGCUUUCCCCCUCAGGCCACUUUUGUGAGCCGAACCAAGGGUGACCAAGCAAUGUAUUGAAAACUGUAUCUGAACAAUGUAUUGUUCAGAUGAACCACUGCUUUAAGCAGUGUUUUUGUAACCAGGUAAUUCCUCAAGAUCCUAAUUCCUUCACUUAUUAUGAAAUGCAAUCCCCUUGUGGUUCAUUCGCAGAUUCCUGCCUUGCAACGGGUUGGACUGGAAGACCCUUGGGGUCCCUUCCGGCUAUAUACACCAUUAUAUGAUUCUUGGGAAAGUGCUUCAGAAAGAAUAAACGGGGGGGGGGGGGAGAGAACAUGUUUCUUCGAGUUAAUCGUAUGAUGGCUUACAGGGAAGGGAGGCUCCUUUCCCACUUUAUUAUUUCUUCAAUCUGUGCUUGACAUAUUAUAUGUUUGCUUUUACGUGGACCCCCUCUUUCCCUUCUUGUGAAAAUAAUCGACCCUACUGAUAUUUCUUAGGUCUGUAUGGGCUCUGAUGAAUUCCUGCUCUGAAGAGGAGGAAGCUUCGCCUGAGGAACGGAGAAGAGGAGGUGGAGGAAAAGUCAGCUGCAGGCAUGAAGGUAAUAGGGGAAAAAAUAGAAAUACAAAUUAACAUAUAACACUUAAUAACAUUUUUAAACAACCCCACUCCUGAUAUAUCACACCCACCCAAAUGGGGCUUGGCCUCGUCCCCCCUAACCAGCAUAGUAAAAAUACAGUAAAGUAUUUUUAUUUAUUUGAUUGGAGUAGGGCAGCACCUCCUAGCUUCACUCAUGUUGGUGAGGUUUGUCUAUUUUUCCUUUUCUUAUUAGGCUAUCUAAAGGUGACAAAGCAAUGUGUUGAAAACUUAAUUUCUUCAGAUGAACCAUUGUUUUAACCAGGUAAUUACUCAAGGCACCGAUUCUUUCACCUAUCAAUUUAUCCACAUAAUCCAAGCGGAGAUUAAUUAGCAUCCAAAAGUGGUACACUUGCACAUUACAUCUUAAGAUAAAUGUUUUGGAAAAGGCAUAAAUUAAAAAAAAUUAAUUUGCAAGCAAAUACUUGAAUGCCCAGUGAAUUAGAUAGGCAGUGAGCUGGCUUAUUUGUCUAAUGGAGCAUCCCAAAACCCAGUUUGGGUCUAUAAGACCGAGUUUGCCCCUUCCCCCCAGCCUUAACGGCAACCCUCCAUUGCUUUCUGUUUGAUUUUUUAAACAGAUACUCUGAAUUGAACACCACAAGAAUAAAUAGGGAUCAGCCCCUGCUGUAGUGGCCAGCACUAAAAGCCAUUUGAGUAAUUCAGAUCAAUAAAGUAGGAAUAAUUAAUAUUUACAAACCAGCAACUUCACACCAGUUUUGGACACUUGCAGCAACUUGCAAUGUUAAGAGAGGUGCUCUAAAUAAAAGCACUUUCUACAUUUAUGAGCCUUCAGAGUAGGCUCAUGUUUUGUCCUUUGCCUGGAGGUAUAAAUGUUGUUAGCAUAUGUGCAAUCACCCCGAGAACUUCAGGCCUGCUCCUGACUGUCAAAAUGCUCCUGGAGAGGCUGUAAGCAGCACUUCCUCUGCUCUCAGUCAGCAAAAGAGGAUGGCAAGGUGUGCUUCAUGGCGUAACUUAAUUUGCAGCUGCAGGAGAAGUGUGGAUCCCUCAGCCAUACCUAAAUAGCCUUCAAAGUGCCAUUUAAGAGUGCAACAGCUAGCUGUGAUGUGGACACAAAGGUUGUGAGGUUGUUCCCCGUAAGGGACACAUGCAAAUUCCUGCCUUGUAGCAGGUUGGACUGGAUGACCCUUGGGGUCCCUUCACGAUAUAUACUCACCCACUCACCCACCAUCAUACGAUUCUUUGGAAAGUGCUUCAGAAAGAAGAUAGAGAAAUAGCAUUCCUUUAAGUUAGUUGUAGUUGUUGGCUUUUUGCAGCAUGGUAGCACUGCAGAGAGCUUGCUGGGGAGACCAUGCAUUAAAAAGGGACUCAAAAAUAGCUUAAACAAGGUUUUAAUUACAAAAACAAAAACCCCAUUUACACUAAAUAUAUUAACAAACAAACAUGACCCAAACACCAACCCAUCCCCCAGGGUAAUGGGAGAGCUAGUGCUGCUCCUUAUAUACUACACCCAAUUGCCAACACAGCUUAAUCAAUACAACUCAACAGCACCUGCUAUGUUUCACAGCUGUAAAGCUGGGUCUCGUUAUCUUGCUCUGGCCCUUGCUCUGGCCCCUUAAAGACAUACACAUCGGGUGGAACAGUGAUGAACCUUUACAUUUAAAGAAACCAUUCAACAAUGCAGAGGGUCGCAAGGAUAGCUGGCUAGCCCCAGCUGGAUCGUCUCCUUCCAGCUGUCCAGCUGCGAAGAUCCAUCUGCCUCUGCUCCGAUGUAAAUCAGCAACCCAGGCUUCAAAGCCAGGGCACACUAUAUCAGCCGAGCAAACUGCACACACAGAAUAGGCGUGAGGCUUGUGGAAGCAUACCACAACUAUGGAUUUAUUAAUCAUAAAUCAGGACAAACAGACUCCGCUAACCCAAAAAUAGUACCUCGGGUUAAGAACUUUGCUUCAGGAUGAGAACAGAAAUCGUGCUCCAGGGGCACGGUGGCAGCAGGAGGCCCCAUUACCUAAAGUGGUACCUCAGGUUAAGAACAGUUCCAGGUUAAGAACGGACCUCCAGAACGUAUUAAGUUCUUAACCCGAGGUACCACUGUACACACAACAGAAGUUCCCAGCAAAUUGUGCUGGUAUGUAAACAGACAUGUGACAUGCAACAGUUCCAUGUCUGCAACUAAAGGUGGAAUUUUCCAGCAGUAGAUAGUCAGGCUUGGUUCCUGAAAUGAGUAGGCUUCCUUGUACACACUUCCAGGCAGAAGGGGUAGAUGGAGAGAACACUUUGUGUAGGGUCAGGGUCAGGGUGAGAAUAUGUAUAAUCACCCUGAAGGAUUCAGGGCUCCUCCUGACUGUUGAAAUGCUCCCAAGGAGGAUGUAAGCAGCACUUCCUCUGUUUCCAGUCAAUAAUAGUGAAUGGCCAUGUUUUCUUCAUGGCUGAACUUGCAGCUCCAGGAGAGGUGUAGAUCCCUGAACUAUACCUAAAUAGCCUUCAAAGUGCCAUUUAAGAGUGCAAUAUUUGCUGCACAACCAAGGUUGCGGGGUUGUUCCCCAUAAGGGACUCCUGCAUGUUCCUGUAUUGCAGCAGGUUGGACUGGAUACCGUUGGGGUCCCUUCCAGAGGUCAUAUACCAUCAUUUUUCUUUGGAAAGGGCUUCAGAAAGAAGAAACAGAAAUAGCGUUCCUUAAAGUUAGUUGUAUGAUGGGAAAGUAGCCUCACUUCCUGUGAGUUACCUUAUUCCUUGCACGUUAAUUUGAGCUUGGUGCCUCUUUUUACACGGACCCCUCUUUCAGUUCUUCUGGAAAAAAUUCGCCCCCCUGUUAUUUCUCAGGUCUCUAUGGGCUGUGCUGAAUUCCUGCUCCCAAAAGGGGGAGGAGAAGGAAGGGGGAAGUUUCGCCUGACAAAGGGAGGGAGAAGAGGGGCCCUCCUGCUGCUGCCUUGUGGGGCGAGAGGGGGAAAGGGGAUCUUUUGACACAAGAUCCAAACAGCUCCUUUAACCAAACACUUGAUCCACCCAGCAGUGUGGCAGCCAAGGGGAAGGAAAGCAGCUCUUAGACAUCUCCAUGCAGUUGCAAAAGGUGGGUUGCCUGUAUGGGCUCUGCUUUAUUCCUUAAUGUUGAAUGCUACAUCUGCCUAAGUCCACUUCCAUCCACUGGAAAAGAUUCUUAGUAGUAAGGAGUAAAGGGAACGGUGGGAAAUACCUAGUUAUUUCUAUAAAUUGGUAAGACCGCACAGUCCCUACACCUCCACAAGGCCUGGUCCUUUUAAGAGGUCCAGCCUGCCUUCUCCAAAGGUGGAUUUCAGCUCAAACAGCUUGCUGAAAAGUCUCUCUUCCUAUCCUUACACCAGUAAUCCUGGCAACCUCCUAGAUAACAGUCUCUAUUCUUCAAUGGUCAGGGAGAUUGCAUUUUCCCACAGUCUCUCAAAAAAUUGAAACCUUAGCAUUUAGUAAUGUCUUAAUACAGUUUUUUUGGGGGGGUCAGCCCUUAAAAAUCAACUGUGCAGUGUGGCUCACAGCAGGGGCAAAGCAAAGAUUUAAGAGUGUCACCAGCUAUGCACAUUCGCGUACACACAUAUAGGCUGGGAGUCCCUAUGCCACAAGACCAAGUGGGCUGAGCCCCGGUAACGGGGGCCAAAACCAAAAGCCAGUUGAAUCAUUUACAUUUACAAAUACUGGCACGUAUGUAUGUGUUUUGGAAAUUUGCAGAAGUUUGUAAUGUUAAGAGAGGUGUUCUAAAGAAAAGCACUUCAUACACUCAUGAGCAUUCCCUUAGAGUAGGCUCAUUUUUCCCCCUUUUCUGGAGGUGGAAAUGUUGUUAGCAUUUGUACAAUCACCCCGAAGGCUUCAGGCCUCCUUCUGACUCUUGAAAUGCUCCUGGGGAGACUGUAAGCAGCACGUCCUGCACUCUCAGUCAGCAAAAGGAGAUGGCAAGGUGUGUUUAAUGGCGUAACUUGCAGCUGCAGUUUAAAUUAAAGUGCCAUUUAAUAGGGCAACAUUGACAGCACAACCAAGGUUGGUGGUGGUUCUCUUGCAUAUUCCUGCCUUGCAGUGGGUUGGACUGGAUGACCCUUGGGGUCCCUUCCAAUAUAGAUAUAUACACCAUCAUAUAAUUCUUUGGAAUAAUCAUAAUCAUCAUCAUCAUAAAUUUUUAUAUCCCGCCAUCCCCAGCCGAAGCCGGGCUCAGGGUGGCUAACAACAAUAAAACAGUACAAAAGUACAGCACAAACAACACUCUAAAAUCAUUCAUUAUAAAAUUAAUUAAUUCAAGCCACUGGCAACCAUUGGGCCAGAGCUCCGCGAAGAUUGCCGAGGGGGGAGUCAGGCUGUGCCCUGGCCAAAGGCCUGGUGGAACAGCUCUGUCUUGCAGGCCCUGCGGAAAGAUGUCAAGUCCCGCAGGGCCCUGGUCUCUUGUGACAGAGUGUUCCACCAGAUCGGAGCCACGGCCGAAAAAGCGCUGACUCUAGUUGAGGCCAGCCUAACUUCUCUGUGGCCUGGGACCUUCAAGAUGUUUUUAUUUGAAGACCGUAAGUUUCUCUGUGGGGCAUACCAGGAGAGGCGGUCCCGUAGGUACGAGGGUCCUAGGCCGUAUAGGGCUUUAAAGGUUAAAACCAGCACCUUAAACCUGAUCCUGUACUCCACCGGGAGCCAGUGCAGCUGGUAUAGCACCGGGUGAAUGUGAUCUCGCAGCGAAGACCCCGUAAGGAGUCUUGCUGCAGCAUUCUGCACCCGCUGGAGUUUCUGGGUCAGUCUCAAGGGCAGCCCCACGUAGAGCGAGUUACAACAAUCCAGUCUGGAGGUGACCGUCGCGUGGAUCACAGUGGCUAGGUCAGGGCGAGAGAGGUAAGGCGCCAACUGCUUAGCUUGGCGGAGAUGGAAAAAUGCCGCCUUUGUUGUAGCUGCAAUCUGCGCCUCCAUGGAAAGGGAGGUGUCGAAGAUUACACCCAAACUCUUAACGGACGGUGCUGGCACUAAUUGCGCCCCCGCAAGAGAUGGGAGUUGCCCCCCCAAUCCAAUAUCGUCCCGCCCCAGCCACAGGCCAUCUGUCUUCGAAGGAUUUAGCUUCAACCGGCUCCCACGUAACCAUCCAGCCACAGCUUCCAAACAUCUGGUCAGUGUGUCUGGGGCCGAGUCAGGAUGGCCAUCCAUCAACAGAUAGAGUUGGGUGUCAUCAGCAUACUGAUGGCAACCCAGCCCAAAAUUCCGGACAAGCUGGGCGAGGGGGCGCAUAAAGAUGUUGAAAAGCAUCGGGGAGAGUAUCGCACCCUGAGGUACUCCACACACCAAGGAGUGGCGCGAUGACAAUUCCCCCCCAAGCGCCACCCUCUGUCCCCAACCAGAGAGAAGCGAGCACAGCCAUUGAAGGACUGUGCCCUGGAUCCCCACAUCAGUAAGGCGGUGGUCCAGAAGUUCGUGAUCGACCAUGUCGAAAGCUGCUGACAGAUCUAGAAGAAUCAGCAGCCCCGACCCACCUUGAUCCAGCUGUCUACGAAGAUCAUCUGUUAGGGCAACCAGAGCCGUCUCGGUCCCAUGACCAGCGCGGAAGCCGGACUGGAAUGGAUCCAGAGCCGAUGUUUCAUCCAGAAACCCACAAGCUGUUCAGCAACCGCUCUCUCAGUCACCUUACCCAGGAACGGAAGAUUCGAAACUGGGCGGUAAUUGGAUAGAUCUAAAGGAUCUAAUGAUGUUUUCUUUAAGAGCGGGCGCACCACUGCCUCCUUCAGUUCCCCUGGGAAUGUCCCUGUGCCAAGGGACAAAUUGAUGAUAUCCCCCAGGGGGGCCCGCACCUCGUCUGGACACGCUCUAAUCAGCCAAGACGGGCACGGGUCGAGAGGACAGGUGGUGGGCUUUCCAGCUCGGAGGAGUCUGUCCACAUCGGCUGGGGAUAUCCGGUUGAAGUGGUCCAAUACUGGACCCGAGGACAGUUGAGGGGCCUCCAGUUCCUUUAUUGUAUCCAAAUUGGCAGGGAGGUCAUGGCCGAGCAACAAGACCUUCUCGGCAAAAAAGCUCGCAAAUGCCUCACAGCUGUGUGUCAAAUUGUUAUUUAAAUUUGCCUGUCCCUCAAGGGACGUUAAAGACCUGAUUAUACUAAAUAAUUGUGCCGGGCGAGAGCUAGCGGAUGCAAUGGAGGCUGAGAAGUAAGACUUCUUAGCAGCCUUCACCGCCAUCUCGUAGGUUUUCAUAAAAGCCCUAUAAGAUGUUCUUGAGGCUCCAUCACGGGCACCCCGCCAUACUCGCUCUAGCCGUCUGAGGUCCCGCUUCAUUUCCCGGAGCUCCUCGGUAAACCAGGGAGCCCGGUUUCUGCAGGGUCGCAGAGGGUGCUUAGGUGCGAUCUCAUCGAUGGCUGCCAGGAGCUGGAUAUUCCAGCCCUCAACAAGCUCAGUCAAUGAGUUGCCAGGGGGAGCAAGGUCCCGCAAGGCUUGGCGGAAUCUAUCAGGGUCCAUCAGCCUCUGCGGGCGAGCCCAAAUCGGCUCGCCACCUAAGCAGGGUGGGGGUGGAAAGUCAAUCCUGGCUUUCAGAGCGUAGCGAUCAGACCAUGGCACCUUCAUCGAAGGAGACAUGAUCACAUCUAUACCUACGCCAAAGAUCAAAUCCAGCGUGUGGCCUGCUUGAUGUGCGGGGCCCGAAACAAACUGGGAGAGCCCUAGUGUCGCCAUGGAAGACACCAGGUCCAGAGCCUGUGAGGAGGGAGUGGCAUCAGCAUGGAUGUUGAAGUCCCCCAAUACCAAUAGGUUAGGGAACUCCAAGGCCCAGCCGGCUACCGCCUCCAAUAGGCCUGACAGGGUGGCUGCUGGUGCGCUAGGUGGCCGGUACACCAGCCAGACAGCCAAGCUCUCCUUGGAGCCCCACACUAGGCCAACACAUUCAAUGCUGGGGAUCGAUGGCGAUGGUAGAGCCCUGAAAGGACAAUCUUCCCGGAUUAAUAAUGCUACCCCUCCCCCCCCGGCCCACAGUCCGCGACUGGUGGAGGACAGAGAAACCCGGGGGCGCCAUCUCUCGUAAGGUAACUGUUGCCCCUUCGCGCACCCAGGUCUCCGUCACACAAGCCAGGUCAACCCCUUGCGAGAUAAAGAAAUCUCGCAGGGUGGCGGUUUUGUUGCCUAUAGACCUGGCAUUGCACAGCACCAGUGACGGAGGUGAGUAAUCCUUGCUCACCCUACCCUCGUCCCUCGGGAUGAGGCACAGAUUGGAAGGGGUACGAGCAUAUCCAUAUCUCGAUCCCCUUCGCCUAUAACAUCUGCCCCCACCACCAUACCUCCCUCGCCCCUCCACUGUAGCAAUCUCAAGCCUCAUAGUAGCCUCCAUUGAUGGCAAUUACUGUUAUUCUUUCGCAGCCUAAAACAAUAAAACCUUAAAACAAUAAAAACAAAAAACAAAAGCAACCCAGAAAACAAUAAAACAAUACAAAUAAAAACUGCAAAAAUUACAAAUUCAUCAAAAUCUAACAAAUUCCCAAGCCCACCCAAACAUCCAUCCCACCCCCAUAUAUAAAAAUCUAAAGGGAAAGGGAGAUUUUAAAACAUGUUAAAAAGAACUCUGUACCCCUCCGGGUCCUCCUGGGCAGUAGCAGCAUCAGUGGCAACAACCGUCCUUGUGAGGCCCCACCCUGGACCAGAUAGUAGGUGGCAGGAGCAGUCCUUGUGAGGCCUGUCAGGCCCCGCCCUGGGCCCGGGGGUAGAGUGGCAGGAAGGAGCAGGGCCCUCAGGCACUCACACAGGCGAGUCCUCCUGGGCAGCAGGGCAGUCCUUUUGAGGCUUCAGGCCCCGCCCCAGGCCAGAUGGUAAGUGGCAAGAACAGGGCCCUCAGGCACUCACACAGGGGAGUGUGCUUAGGAAGUUAGGGUUGGGGUUAGGGUUAGGGUUGGGUUAGGGUUGGGGUGAGGGUUAGAGGGUUAGGUUUAGAGGGUUAGGGGUUGGGGUCAGGGUCAGGGGGUAAGGGUUAGAGGGUCAGGGUCAGGGUUAGGUUUUAGGGUUAGAGUUGGGGGUUGGGGUUAGUGUUAGUGUUAGGAAGGUCCCAUUUUCCUUUAGGACGUCCCUAUUUUCGUGGGAGAAUGGUUGGAGAUGGACUAGGAUGUCCCAAUUUUCAUCAGGGUAAUAUCAGAGGUGUGACAGGAUGUCCCUAUUUUCACUGGAGAAGUGUUGGAGGAGAUUGACUAUCUAUGGAAUCAUAGUUGUUUGCAUAUAUGAGAUCUCUGAGUAUAGGGUGGUUUAUCAAUUCAAUAAAUGAUAAUAAUAUCAUAGACAUCUUUUAUUUUUCUUCGUUCCCUUUCCAUGCUCCUUUGAUUUCCUUCUGUUGAAAUAUUCUCAAUAGAAGAAUAAUAAUAAUAAAUUUUUAUUUUUAUCCUGCCCUCCCCAGCCAAAGCUGGGCUCAAAAGCAGAAUCAAUGUGUGCUUUUGAGGCGCCAACAGGAUGCUUCUCCCGCCCAGCUGGAUAAAAGCAGCCAGUUUAAAAAAGGUAAAAAAAGAAGACAGGUGAAUCAUAGAAUAUUUUUAUUGGCACUCUGAGUUCGGUUUGCAGAGGGCAUGGAAAGAUCUGGCGAGAUGCAGGAAUUCGGCUCAGAGGAGCUGGAAGGUCCCGUUCUGGAUGGCCUGCAAUAAUAAUAAUAAUAAUAAUUUAUUAUUUAUACCCCACCCAUCUGGCUGGGUUUCCCCAGCAAGGAAAAAGAAAGGGACCCUUUGGACUCGGUUCAAGCUGAGAGACAUUCCAGGUGAAAUCGCCUUCCUUGUAAUAAUAAUGAUAAUAAUAAUUUUUAUUUCUAUCCUGCCCUUCCCAGCCAAGGUUGGGCUCAGGGCGGCUAACAAGCAAUCAUAAAAACAAGUUGAAUGAAGACAAGUUAAAAACAAGAUGGAAAAUACAACAUUAAAAUAUUGAAACAUUAAAAUAUUAAAAUAUCUCCUUGGAGGAGAAGUGGAGUUUGGAUUGGAUAUCCCUCUUGAGGAGUCUCAAAGCGGCUCGCAAUCUCCUUUCCCUUCCUUCCCACAACAAACACUCUGUGAGGUGAGUAAGGCCGAGAGACUUCAGAGAAGUUGACCAGCCCAAGGUCACCCAGCAGCUGCAUGUGGAGGAGCGGAGACUCGAACCCAGUUCCCCAGAUUACGAGCCCACCACUGUUCCACACUGGAGGUUUCGAAGCCUAGGUUGGGGUCCCAUCCAGCUCAACUGUUUCUAGGAUUCCAUGUUGAGACUUCUGCCCCAAAUGGGGGUUGGGAUAAAUGACCCUCGGGUCCCUUCCAUGAGUAUUCUUGGUCACUCAGCCAAAAAAAGGCCAUUCUUUUUGGCAACCCGAUCGUACCUUCUUCCAGUUUUCCCUUCUGGAGGUUCGGUCCUCGUCCGUCCUCCUCUUCAUAUCGGCACAAUCUGCAAACACAACCACAACUUUGAGAUUCCCGCCUUUCAGUCGGGUCCCUGACAGCUCUCAUUCUACGAUUAUAUAGUUCCUCCUGUGGCUAGAGGCCCAUAUGAUUGAUCGAUCGAUUGAUUGAUUGAUUGAUUGACGUGAACCGAAGGGUCCGCUGGAGGAGGUUAGGCAAGGAACUGGGCGAAACGGAGGCUUCAGUGCAGGAAUCUCUUCUUUUUUCCCCCAAUUUUUUUUUAUUGGUUUUCACAACAUUAUAAACAAACCAACACAUAAGACAAACAAACAUAAAUCAUAGCCUUAUUGAAAAUUACACUGAUUAACAUUGUUAAGUGACGUCCUCGCUUCCCCAUGGUUGAAUUUCAUUGCAUGUCCUUUGAACGGUUUUCCAAAUCACAGUUCUUCUAAAAUUCAACUUAAACAUUAACAUCCUUAGAUCUUCACAUUAUGAAAUUAAACAUAUGAAUUCAUCACUUAACGUAAAUAAAAUCCUAAGCCAAUUAAGUAUCUGCAAGCUGUUUUCAGUUAAUUUAACUUAACAUAGUUAACUAAGACCUAACAGGAAGAGCCUGCCACCAGAAGGAGAAGUAUCAGGAAGAUUGGAUUAAAUUUAAUUAAAUUUAACUAAGUAAUCAUUCAAUUUAAUCCACUCUUCCUGAUACUCCUCCUCCUCCUGGUCACGGACUCUUCCGGUUAGGUCGGCUAGCUCUGAAAGAUCCAUCAUCUUCAGUGCAGGAAUCUCAACACAGAAUCAUACAAUGGCGGAGCUGGGACCCCCAAAGGUCAUCCAGUCCAACCCGCAGCAAGG